AACAAACGCUGGCGGCGUGCUUAACACAUGCAAGUCGUACGAGAAAGUCCGCUUCGGCGGAUGAGUAAAGUGGCGCACGGGUGCGUAACACGUGGGUAAUCUGCCCUUCAGCGGGGAAUAACUCGCCGAAAGGCGGGCUAAUACCGCAUAAUACCGUUCCCACCCCGGUGGGACGGUCAAAGACAGCCUCUGUUUACAAGCUGUCGCUGAAGGAUGAGCCCCGCGGCCUAUCAGCUAGUUGGUGGGGUAACGGCGUCACCAAGGCUGUGACGGGUAGCUGGUCUGAGAGGAUGGCCAGCCACACUGGAACUGAGACACGGUCCAGACUCCUACGGGAGGCAGCAGUGGGGAAUCUUGGGCAAUGGGGCAACCCUGACCCAGCGACGCCGCGUGAGUGAGGAAGGUCUUCGGAUCGUAAAGCUCUGUCGGAUGGGAAGAAUGUAUGGGAUGAACAGCUUUCAUGCUUGACGGUACCAUCAGACGGAAGCACCGGCUAACC
Molecule: ribosomal RNA, 499 nt
Filed under: uncultured bacterium
Lineage: Bacteria
Description: bacterial SSU rRNA
Rfam family: Bacterial small subunit ribosomal RNA
Source: RNAcentral